GGCAGUGACACGGGGUGCCCGCACGGCGGGCUGAGAACACACCCGUCGAACCUGAUCUCGAUCAUGCGAGCGAAGGGAUGUCGCGAUGAACGCGC
RNAcentral lists this non-coding RNA (95 nucleotides) under Microbacterium trichothecenolyticum. Its description in RNAcentral is "TPP sequence". It matches the Rfam family "TPP riboswitch aptamer (THI element)". Rfam says of the family: Vitamin B(1) in its active form thiamin pyrophosphate (TPP) is an essential coenzyme that is synthesised by coupling of pyrimidine and thiazole moieties in bacteria. The previously detected thiamin-regulatory element, thi box was extended, resulting in a new, highly conserved RNA secondary structure, the THI element, which is widely distributed in eubacteria and also occurs in some archaea. Analysis of operon structures identified a large number of new candidate thiamin-regulated genes, mostly transporters, in various prokaryotic organisms. Lineage: Bacteria; Bacillati; Actinomycetota; Actinomycetes; Micrococcales; Microbacteriaceae. The record is from Rfam by way of RNAcentral.